UAGUCCACGCCGUAAACGAUGAGCACUAGAUGUCGGAGGUCUUACCCCUUCGGUGUCGUAGCUAACGCGUUAAGUGCUCCGCCUGGGGAGUACGGCCGCAAGGCUAAAACUCAAAGAAAUUGACGGGGCCCGCACAAGCGGUGGAGGAUGUUGUUUAAUUCGAUGCUACGCGAAGAACCUUACCUGGGUUUGACAUCCCGUGCUAUCCUGUGAAAGCAGGAGUUCCCUUCGGGGACACGGUGACAGGUGCUGCAUGGCUGUCGUCAGCUCGUGUCGUGAGAUGUUGGGUUAAGUCCCGGCAACGAGCGCAACCCCUGUCCUUAGUUGCUACCAUUUAGUUGGGCACUCUAAGGAGACCGCUAGCCGAUAAGGCAGAGGAAGUGGGGAUGAGGUCAAGUCCGCAUGGGCCCUUACACCCAGGGGCUACAGACGUCCUACAAUGGCCGGUACAAAGCGCUGCAAACUCGUGAGAGUUGGCUAAUCGCAAAAAGCCGGUCUCAGUUCGGAUUGGAGUCUGCAAC
Molecule: ribosomal RNA, 521 nt
Filed under: uncultured bacterium
Lineage: Bacteria
Description: bacterial SSU rRNA
Rfam family: Bacterial small subunit ribosomal RNA
Source: RNAcentral